Girardinichthys multiradiatus is the source of this 440-nucleotide long non-coding RNA. RefSeq lists it as uncharacterized. NCBI's taxonomy places the organism in Eukaryota, Metazoa, Chordata, Actinopteri, Cyprinodontiformes, Goodeidae. The record is from RefSeq and is a predicted model, not a curated record. The transcript is spliced from 4 exons.
AUUUACUUCCGGAAAGUGCAGAAGAAGAGCAACACACGAAAAAGACGCGGGAAGACAGACAAGUUGGGGAAGGUGGUAAGAUAUUCAAGACCAAGUUUCCUCUGUCAUCAAGCAAAACCUGUUUCAUCAACCAAGUGACUGCAGUAUAGGGUCAUCCACCAAUAAGUGUGUGGAGCCAUUCACCUCAACUGCCAUCCCUUCGCAAAAGUGUCCCAGAAAAGGGGGUCGUCUGCCAGUGACAGGCCUGAGUGUAUAAAUAUAGUGGUGGGAAAUGGCUGCUUCAGUGAAGCUCAGAAUUAUAAUAGGAGAAAACAAUUCCCAGAGACUGAUUUUACAAAAUGGACUUCCAGCGACUGUUCCUGAACUUGUUGAUCACAUUAAGAAGCAGUGUGGAGUACAGUUUGACUUCAUGCUUCAGUUCAUGGAUGCUGAUUUUGGCA